AACAGCAUACUAGUGUAUUGCUCAAAAGCAAAAAAAUUGAAUAUAAAUUCAUAUCAUAUAACCAAUUCUAAGUUCUUUGACUACAGUUAUUCUGUGUCAGAAACCUAUUAUGUGUCAAAUAUUUAAUUACAAUCCAAAUUUAGACCUGUAUCAAGCACGAAUAUUGUGUCCAUUUUUGCCCCAACUGUUUAGGGUUGGACCUCUGCCGUGGUAUCCAGCUGCGCUCGGCAAAGCGAUUUAUUUCGUAUUAUAUAACUAUUGAAAUUGCAUAUUAUAAUGUAUAUUGAUAUUGGAAGGACUUGAUUUUAAAAUUGUGAUAUUCCAUUAUACCAGGUAUAUAGUUAUUUUCAGAUUUUGAAACAUGUGUUCAUGUGUUAAUGUAAAGUUAUACAUUUAAAGUAAGCUUCAUGUACUUAUAUUUUUAUACGACCGCAAAAAUUGUGUCCCAAGACACAUUGGUUUUCGCACUCUAACUUUAGUUUAAGUGAAUGGAUCUCCAUGAAAUUUUACCAUAAGGUUCAAUACCACAAAAGGAAGGUUGGGAUUGAUUUUGGGGGUUAUGGUAAUAACAGUAAAGGAAUUAGGGGCCAAAAAGGGGCCAAAAAUAAGCAUUUUUGUAACUUCCAGACAUAACUUGUGUGUUAGUGUAUGGAUCUCUCUGACAUUGUACCACAAGGUUCCAUAUCACUAAAGGAAUGCUGGGAUUGAUUUUGGGGGUAAUUGCCUCCAAAUUUUAGGAAUUAGGGGCCAAAAAAGGGGCAAAAAACAAGCAUUUUUCUAGUUUCAUGACAAUAACUUGUAUGUAAGUGUAUGGAUCUUUCUGAAAUUGUACUACAAGGUUCCAUAUCACAAAGGGAAAGCUGGGUUUGAGUUUGGGGGUAAUUGCCCUAAACGUUUAGGAAUUUGGGGCCAAAAAGGGGCCAAAAAACACAUUUUUUUCUAGUUUCCAGACAAUAACUUGUGUUCAAGUGUAUGGAUCUCUCUGAAAUUGUACUGCAAGGUACCAUACCACAAAGGGAAGGCUGGGAUUGAGUUUGGGGGUGAUGAAUCAUAAUGGGGGUUCAAAAAAUUUUGGGGGGGGAUUUAUUUUUUUUUCCUUUUUUUUCUUUUUUUCCUUUUUUGUUUCUUUUAAAAUUUUCCAUUUUAAGUUGGUUAUUUCUGAUUUAUAUUUAAAAUCAAAUAAUAAUGAUAUGGUAGGAGAUACACACCAAACAGGAUGUGUAAAUUAUUAUAUAAUAAGUAUUGUGCAAUGGCAAGAAAUUUUCAAUUGCACAGUAUUGCACAAUAGCAAGAAAUCUUCAAUUGCACAGUAUUGCGCAAUAGCAAGAAAUCUUCAAUUGCACAGUAUUGCGCAAUAGCAAGAAAUAUCCAAUAGCACAAUAUUACGCAAUAGCAAGAAAUUGUCAAUUGUACAGUAUUGCGCAAUAGCAAGAAAUAUUUAAUAGCACAGGAUUGUGCAAAAGAAGAUACUUCCUAUAAAUUGCUUAUUUCUUGACCGAUUUCAAUGGGGUUUUAUUCUUGAUUUUAUGGGGUUCUUUAAUAUGCUGAAUAUAACCGUGUAUUUAGUUUUUGGAUUUUGGGCCCCGUUUUUAAAUUGGUCCACAUUGAGGUCCAAAGGGUCCAAAAUUAAACUUUGUUUGAUUUCAUCAAAAAUUGAAUUAUUGGGGUUCUUUGAUAUGCCGAAUCUAACUGUGUAUUUAGAUUCUUAAAUUUUUGUUCCGUUUUCAAAUUGGUCUACAUUAAGGUCCAAAGGGUCCAAAAUUAAACUUAGUUUGAUUUUAACAAAAAUUGAAUUCUUAGGGUUCUUUGAUAUGCUGAAUCUAAACAUGUAUUUAGAUUUUUGAUUAUGGGCCCAGUUUUCAAGUUGGUCCAAAUCGGGGUCCAAAAUUAAACUUUGUUUGAUUUCAACAAAAAUUGAAUAUAUGGGGUUCUUUGAUAUGCUGAAUCUAACCAUGUAUUUAGAUUUUUGAUUUUUGGGCCCCGUUAUCAACUUUGUCCACAUUGAGGUCAAAAGGGUCCAAAAUUAAACUUUGUUUGAUUUCAUCAAAAAUUGAAUUAUUGGGGUUCUUUGAUAUGCCGAAUCUAACCGUGUAUUUAGAUUCUUAAUUUUUGGUUCCGUUUUCAAAUUGGUCUACAUUAAGGUCCAAAGGGUCCAAAAUUAAACUUAGUUUGAUUUUAACAAAAAUUGAAUUCUUAGGGUUCUUUGAUAUGCUGAAUCUAAACAUGUAUUUAGAUUUUUGAUUAUGGGCCCAGUUUUCAAGUUGGUCCAAAUCGGGGUCCAAAAUUAAACUUUGUUUGAUUUCAACAAAAAUUGAAUAUAUGGGGUUCUUUGAUAUGCUGAAUCUAACCAUGUAUUUAGAUUUUUGAUUUUUGGGCCCCGUUAUCAACUUUGUCCACAUUGAGGUCAAAAGGGUCCAAAAUUAAACUUUGUUUGAUUUCAUCAAAAAUUGAAUUAUUGGGGUUCUUUGAUAUGCCGAAUCUAACCGUGUAUUUAGAUUCUUAAUUUUUGGUUCCGUUUUCAAAUUGGUCUACAUUAAGGUCCAAAGGGUCCAAAAUUAAACUUAGUUUGAUUUUAACAAAAAUUGAAUUCUUAGGGUUCUUUGAUAUGCUGAAUCUAAACAUGUAUUUAGAUUUUUGAUUAUGGGCCCAGUUUUCAAGUUGGUCCAAAUCGGGGUCCAAAAUUAAACUUUGUUUGAUUUCAACAAAAAUUGAAUAUAUGGGGUUCUUUGAUAUGCUGAAUCUAACCAUGUAUUUAGAUUUUUGAUUUUUGGGCCCCGUUAUCAACUUUGUCCACAUUGAGGUCAAAAGGGUCCGAAAUUAAACUUUGUUUGAUUUCAUCAAAAAUUGAAUUCUUGGGGUUCUUUGAUAUGCUGAAUCUAACCAUGUAUUUAGAUUUUGGAUAUUGGACCAUAAUAGGUGAAUGUCCAAUUUAAAAUUUUUAAGUUCUUAGACCACAUUCAAUCUGUGUUAGAAACCUAUGCUGUGUCAAAUAUUUAAUCACAAUCCAAAUCCAAAGCUGUAUCAAGCUUGAAUGUUGUGUCCAUACUUCCCCCAACUGUUCAGGGUUCGACCUCUGCGGUCGUAUCAAGCUGCGCCCUGCGGAGCAUUUUAUUUGUAAUUUUAUCCUACUUCCAACUUUUUUUCUUCAUUUCAAGAUUCCUCAUCCCAACUUUGUACCCUCUAUAUCCCACAUCCCCAAUUUUUACCCUCUAUAUCCCACAUCCAAAACGCAUGUAAUCCCCUCUUAACAAUAUCGUCUUUUUUGUUCAAUAGUUAGAUUAUUUACUGUGAUAAUAUUGCUAAAGGUUGGUAUAAAUUACUGUUAUUGUGGCAUUGCCCACUGAUCAGUUUACAUAAUUAAAAAUACGCGACUCUUUUUACAAAAAAUCUUACAAUUAAAAUUGAACGUAAGUUGACUGAAAUGUUUAUGACCAAUGAGAAUUUUUCUCGUAAGAUAUUUUAUAAAACAAGUUGCAGUAUGUGUGUAUAUAAUGAACAAGGAUUUUGAAACGUUUCUGCCCAUCUUGUUUCCCAUACAUGCUGUAUGUCAUCUAAAGAUAGAGAAGUACAUAUAGUUGUAAGGAUUGAUUUUAUACAAAUAGAAAAUUGUGAUCUUUUGUGUUUUUACUGUGAGAGAGAAUUGUUUUAUUAAAUGUCAUAACAGAGUAUUCUUAGACAAUUAUUAGAAGCAAUAAGAAGUAUUAUUGUAAAUAGAAAUUUUAUUAGAUGUACUAUCUUUAGUGCUAAAUAUUUGAUGUAAAAAUUAUUUAUGAAUACAUAGAUAACAUUAUUCCAUUAUUGUGUACAUUACUCUUUAGUGACAAAUAUUCCAUGGAACAUCACUGAUCAGAAAAAUUAACCCUAAAGGUCUUAUGUAAUACUUUUGGUAUAAGACAUUUGGGCUAAAUCAAUAACGUGACAAUGGUAUCAUUUGAGCUAAAUCAAUAACGUGACAAUGCUAUCAUUUGAGCUAAAUCAAUAACGUGACAAUGCUAUCAUUUGGGCUAAAAAUUUUGGAUUUACAUUUAGAGUGAUUUUAGACUAAUUUAAUUUUUUUACCUGUACUGUUAAAUUACAGAUAAUAUUUUUCAAAAUCAAUAUUUGAUGUAAAAUAUAUAAAAUAUCACUUAGAAAUAAUUUUAAAAAUACAACCUUCAUAAAUCUGGUCAUUUGAAAACUAUGCUAGUUUGAAAAGAAAAGAACUUAAUUGAAGUUUUAUACCAUUAAAUGGUAAUUAGUUUAUAGUUGAGAUCAGGCAGUAACACAAGAUUACAGUUUUGAAGGCUGUUAGCUUAAAAUUCAGGACCAGAGCCAAUAUUUGAGAACAAUUAAUUACUGUAUAUAUCUAAACAUGCAUGCAGCUGUUUUAUACCUGCACUUUGUUCAUAGUUUUAAAAAGUUAUUUAGUGUUAUUAUUAGACUCAUCUUGCUCAGAACCCCUCUUCCACCUCGCUGUGGUGAACAAGUGAGAAGACAUUGUCUGGUAAACAGAAUGGGUACAUAAAGCAAGAAUAUGUUAUAAAUAGAAUAAUGUCAUUCUACAUAUCUAAUAUUAAUAUAUAAUUAAAAAAUAGACAUGCUACCUGUUAUUUACCUGUACAUGGGAGGAUUAGCUCAAAAGUAGACUUUAAAUUUUAUCCCAAAUGUGGACACCCCAUUGGCGCAACAUAUUUUUAGCCCAAAUAUUACGCCAAAUAGCCCAAACGUGCAUUCCAAAAAUUGUAUUGAUCUGUUAAAUAAUUCAUUGUGUUUUAUAUUACCUAACUCUUCUUGAGCUGGGAUAUCAGUCCAAGACUAGAAGAGAAGGUAAAACGAAUUAGAUUGCCCCUACAGGAAAUCAAAAGACCAUUUGGCAGGAUCUGCAACAUAUCACCUAUGGGCACAUCCAAAGAAUACUUUUUAGUUUGCAUUUUUUCUUCUGGGGAAAAGGGGGGGUGUUAUACUGUUAAUCAAGAGAUGGUUAGGCAACAGCUGAUUAGAAUUAGAAAUUUGGAUGAUUCGCAAAUUGAAAUUUUAAGAUAAUAUGGGACUCUCUUUUAUAAAUAUUUUGAGUGUAUAUAAAGAAUUUCUACAGUUUGCGUAAUAUUUUGAUACAAACAAAUGUUUAAAUAUUUGCAAUUUCUCAGCAAUAUAUGAUAAAUUGAGAUUAACAAAGUAUUUUUUAUCUUUUAUUUUUUUACCCUUUUCUAUAUAUUUUAUACAGUUGAAAUACUGUUUCCCUAUUUUAGAUACUAAAGAUAUGUAACAGUGUUUAUAAUUUUUUUGAAAUGAAUUACUGUAAUAAAUUUAUUCUUGGUGGAUGCCAUUUCUCUUAGAUUUGAUCUGUCUGUUUUCUCCACACACAAAAAAAUUUCAUUGCAUAUAAUGCAUAUAGUA
Molecule: long non-coding RNA, 5376 nt
Organism: Mytilus californianus (California mussel)
Lineage: Eukaryota; Metazoa; Mollusca; Bivalvia; Mytilida; Mytilidae
Exons: 2
Source: RefSeq, a predicted model, not a curated record